GAUGAACGCUGGCGGCGUGCUUAACACAUGCAAGUCGAACGAACCUUCGGGUCAGUGGCGGACGGGUGAGUAACGCGUGAGAAUCUGCCCUCAGGAGGGGGAUAACGGUUGGAAACGACCGCUAAUACCCCAUAUGCCUACUGGUGAAACGAAUUUCGCCUGAGGAUGAGCUCGCGUCUGAUUAGCUAGUUGGUGAGGUAAUGGCUCACCAAGGCUUCGAUCAGUAGCUGGUCUGAGAGGAUGAUCAGCCACACUGGGACUGAGACACGGCCCAGACUCCUACGGGAGGCAGCAGUGGGGAAUUUUCCGCAAUGGGCGAAAGCCUGACGGAGCAACGCCGCGUGAGGGACGAAGGCCUCUGGGCUGUAAACCUCUUUUCUCAAGGAAGAAGAUAUGACGGUACUUGAGGAAUAAGCCACGGCUAAUUCCGUGCCAGCAGCCGCGGUAAUACGGGAGUGGCAAGCGUUAUCCGGAAUUAUUGGGCGUAAAGCGUCCGCAGGCGGCUUUUCAAGUCUGCUGUUAAAGCGUGGAGCUUAACUCCAUCAUGGCAGUGGAAACUGAAAGGCUUGAGUAUGGUAGGGGCAGAGGGAAUUCCCGGUGUAGCGGUGAAAUGCGUAGAUAUCGGGAAGAACACCAGUGGCGAAGGCGCUCUGCUGGGCCAUUACUGACGCUCAUGGACGAAAGCCAGGGGAGCGAAAGGGAUUAGAUACCCCUGUAGUCCUGGCCGUAAACGAUGAACACUAGGUGUCGGGGGAAUCGACCCCUUCGGUGUCGUAGCUAACGCGUUAAGUGUUCCGCCUGGGGAGUACGCACGCAAGUGUGAAACUCAAAGGAAUUGACGGGGGCCCGCACAAGCGGUGGAGUAUGUGGUUUAAUUCGAUGCAACGCGAAGAACCUUACCAGGGUUUGACAUCCUGCGAACCUCUUAGAAAUUUGAGGGUGCCUUCGGGAAUGCAGUGACAGGUGGUGCAUGGCUGUCGUCAGCUCGUGUCGUGAGAUGUUGGGUUAAGUCCCGCAACGAGCGCAACCCACGUUUUUAGUUGCCAGCAUUUAGUUGGGCACUCUAGAAAGACCGCCGGUGAUAAACCGGAGGAAGGUGUGGAUGACGUCAAGUCAUCAUGCCCCUUACACCCUGGGCUACACACGUACUACAAUGCUACGGACAAAGGGCAGCAAACUCGCGAGAGCUAGCAAAUCCCAUAAACCGUGGCUCAGUUCAGAUCGUAGGCUGCAACUCGCCUACGUGAAGUAGGAAUCGCUAGUAAUCGCAGGUCAGCAUACUGCGGUGAAUACGUUCCCGGGCCUU
RNAcentral lists this ribosomal RNA (1306 nucleotides) under uncultured bacterium. RNAcentral's name for it is "bacterial SSU rRNA". It matches the Rfam family "Bacterial small subunit ribosomal RNA", at positions 28 to 1382 of the family's 1533-position model. The record is from RNAcentral.